RNAcentral lists this long non-coding RNA (1924 nucleotides) under Heterocephalus glaber (naked mole-rat). RNAcentral describes it as "lncRNA (ENSHGLG00100045635.1)". Lineage: Eukaryota; Metazoa; Chordata; Mammalia; Rodentia; Bathyergidae. The record is from RNAcentral.
CUUGAGCCAUAAAAUCAGAACAGAGACAAUCAGGGUCACUAAGUCUGAUCCAGAGGGCCCUCGACAAACAGCUCUACCCAAGGCAAAAUUGCUACUUAGACCAAACCAUCCAAAUUUGUUAAACACCUGGCAUUUUGCCAAGGACUCUGUGGCUAUGAAGAUGAAAAGAACCAAGGCUCUUCAUGCAUUCAAGGACCAGAUUCUGUCUGGCCCCCAGGCCAGGCCAUGGAUUUAUUUUGGAUCAGAAAUGCUGGUCUCAGAAGACUCCAGGGAGACUCGGAGUACAGGGAUUUGCUGGGUGCCAGGGCAGGUGGCAUUCCAAGCUGGUGGGACCCAGUCGGACUGGUUGGUGAAUCUACGUAUAGGAAUAGCAACAAAAGAUAAAAAUCCUUGGAAACUAAGGGAGGAAGCAGAAAAUUGGUCUUUAUUUGCUGAUCUGUCUAUUCUUGGGAAAUGGAAACACAGAGGCUGCACCUUUGGAAGUGUGACUGGAAGACUUAACUGGGAAUUCAUAAGUUACAUAUUUAGUUCCACUCACUGAACUCAGCAUAUGAUCAAUGACAUUGAUUUUGUGGUGCUGGGGAUUGAACCCAGAGCUUUAUGCAUGCUAAACAAGUAGUCUAUGACUAAGGUAUAUCCCUGGGCUCUAUAUGCAUCCAUUAUUAGUCAAUAAAUAAACAAUAACAAUAUUAGCAGUCAAUGAAUUUGUCACCACCAGUAUGAACUAUUAAUAUUUUUAUGUCAUCUCACAGUGUUGCAGAUACUACAAAAUUUAAUCUGUGUUCAUCACUACAGUAUAUUAAAUUAUGCUAGCUAUCAUACUCACCGUUAGAUCUGGACAUUUAGUGUAUUGCUAAGAAAGCAAUAUAUCAUGAAACUAGUAUAUCAUGAAACUUUUUGAAUAUUUGGAUAAUACAGUAAUUAUAGACCAAUAUAUUUCUUUAUGUAUUCAAAUUCAUUAUUGUUUGAGAAACAAAAAUAGAAAAGGGAUCCUGACAAAUGACAUAGAUAAUUCUCAAAAGAGGAUGUACCAGUGCCCAACAUCUAUGUGAAAAAUGCUCAGCAUCACUAAUCAUCAAAGAUAUGAAAAUCAAGAUCACAAAGAAUUAUUAUCCAACCACAAUUAGAAUGGCAUCAAAGGGCAAAACAAUAGCAGAUUCCAGUGAGGACUGGAGAAAGGAAAACUGUAUUGCUAGUGGAGGUGCAAAUUAGUAGAGUCAUUAUGGAAAGCAGUAUAGAGAUUCCUCAACAACCUAGGGUAGAACUAUUGUAUGAUCUAGCAAUCCCACUACUGAGUAUAUAUUCAAAGUUAUUUUUCCCUUUUUUUUUUUUUUUUUGGUACCAAGGAUUGAACUCAGACCUUGCGCUUGCAAGGCAGGAGGCAAAACCCCUGAGCUAAAUCCCUGGCCCCAAAGUCAUUAAUAUCAGUAUGUCAAAAAGGCAUCUGUACUUGCAUCUUUAUUGCAGCACUAGCCACGAUAUCCAGGAUAUAGUCAACUUAGGUGUCCAGUGAAUGUAUGCAUAAAGAAAACAUGGUAUAUAACUUGUACACACAAUAGAACACUACUGUUUAGCCAUAAAAAGCAACAUGGACAGCAGUGGAGGACAUCAUGUUAAGUGAAAUAAGUCAGGCAUUAAAAGACAAAUAUUACAUGUUCUCACUUAUAUCCAGAUGGAAAAAGUUGAUCUCAUAUAAGCAGAGAAUAAAGUACAAUACUGGUUACCAGAGCCUGGGAAGGGUUUGGGGGAAGAAAAGAUGGAGACAAGACAGUAAAUGUGUGCAGGGGUGCAGUUGUAUAGGGCAAAUAACCUCUAACUUUCUGUAGCACAGUAGUUGGCAAUAAUUGAUUGAAUAUUUCAAAAAUAGCUAAUUUGGAAGAUCUCAAACGUUCCCAGCACAAAGAAAUGUCAAAUGUCUGAGGUG